Choloepus didactylus (southern two-toed sloth) is the source of this 1046-nucleotide long non-coding RNA. RefSeq lists it as uncharacterized. The record is from RefSeq and is a predicted model, not a curated record. NCBI's taxonomy places the organism in Eukaryota, Metazoa, Chordata, Mammalia, Pilosa, Megalonychidae. The transcript has 3 exons.
GAGACCAGCAGACGCCGCCAUGUCCUUGCCCUGGAUCCCAGGGGAUCCCAGAGGAAGCCAGGAUCGCCCGCAGCCGGUCUUCAGGAAGGAAGCAUCGCCUUGAUGAUGCCUUGAUUUGGACAUUCUCACGGCCUCAGACUGGACAGAAGGUUAAUGCAAAUCCUUCUGGACUGGAUGGAGACCCAGAGCCACUGUGGGGACAUGUAGGAACUCCUCAGUCAUCCUGCCCAGGGGCCCGUGAACAGUGCUCCCAUGGGGAGGUGCAGCCCCAUGCACCCAGCAAAGCCAGACAGGAGCAGCGAGGGAUGACCAGCCCCAUCCUGUGUCCUCCGGGUCAUUCCGAGAACACAGCCUGUCAAUCCAAUCCCUCCCAGCGGCCGUGCAUAAUCCAGAAGCUUCGUUCCUCUCUGCGUGGUGCCCUGGGACGUCCAAGGCCAUAAUGGAAGAGUUAAAAUCUUCCUGGGAAGCUGCUGCUCUCGGCUCCAAUGGGGGUAAUUGAUGUAAUCAGGGGUUUCCAAUUAUGAUUUGUGAUGCAAUUUUGAUCUCCCUUUCAAAUGCUCCCAAGAUGUUUGCAGAAGUGCCCAGGUCCUUGAUAUCUCUUUCCCUCUCAGGAGUCCCACCCACUUAUGCCCAGUCCUUUUAUCAUUCAAGAAAGAGCCCACAUUUCUGGGGUCCAGGGCAGGAGGGGGAGGGUGGACAGCAAGGGCUGGGCAAGAGACCCACCUGGAGACCUCACCAUGGCUUUAAUGGAAGGCUGGGCCACCACCUUUCAGCCUAUACUUUCUCUUUCUCAUUCUGUUUUAAGUAAAAUUGAGGUGAAAUUCAUAUAACAUAAAAUUAACCAUUUUAAAGUGAACAAUUCAGUGGCAUUUAGUGCAUUUGCAAUGUUGUGCAACCACAGCUUCAACCUAGUACCAAAAUAUUCUCAUGCCACCCAGAGAAAAACCUGCCCCCCUUAAGCAGCUGCCGUCCACCUGCCCAUAGCCCCCAACAUCACCAAUCUACUCCCUCUCUACAGAUUUACCUGGUCUGGAUGUUCCAUACAA